UACAGAGGGUGCAAGCGUUAAUCGGAAUUACUGGGCGUAAAGCGUGCGCAGGCGGUUUUGUAAGUCUGACGUGAAAUCCCCGGGCUCAACCUGGGAAUUGCGAUGAAGACUGCAAGGCUAGAAUCUGGCAGAGGGGGGUAGAAUUCCACGUGUAGCAGUGAAAUGCGUAGAGAUGUGGAGGAACACCGAUGGCGAAGGCAGCCCCCUGGGUCAAGAUUGACGCUCAUGCACGAAAGCGUGGGGAGCAAACAGG
This 253-nucleotide ribosomal RNA is filed under the name uncultured bacterium. RNAcentral describes it as "partial 16S ribosomal RNA". It matches the Rfam family "Bacterial small subunit ribosomal RNA", at positions 524 to 776 of the family's 1533-position model. The record is from RNAcentral.